UACUAAAGUUCGUGGAGCGUUGUUCUUUACUAGAUACGUGUCCGAGUCAAUGACUCGAUACAUCUGGUGCAUCGUAGACCAUUCCAGUGCACUGUAAUCCUUAAAAAGUAUUAUUUUAUUUUAAUAUAUAUAUAUUUAAAUUUUAUAUUUGUUAAUAUAAAGAUAUUGAAGGUAUCAUAAAAUAAAUUUAAUUAAUUAGAUUUU
RNAcentral lists this long non-coding RNA (204 nucleotides) under Ananas comosus (pineapple). RNAcentral describes it as "long non-coding RNA (ACOM_LNC032088)". Lineage: Eukaryota; Viridiplantae; Streptophyta; Magnoliopsida; Poales; Bromeliaceae. The record is from RNAcentral.